This 315-nucleotide ribosomal RNA is filed under the name uncultured eukaryote. RNAcentral's name for it is "partial 18S ribosomal RNA". It matches the Rfam family "Eukaryotic small subunit ribosomal RNA", at positions 1470 to 1796 of the family's 1831-position model. The record is from RNAcentral.
CCCUUAGAUGUUCUGGGCUGCACGCGCGCUACACUGACCAGUGCAACAAGCAUCCGUCCUUGGCCGACAGGCCCGGGCAAUCUUUGAACGCUGGUCGUGAUGGGGAUAGACUUUUGCAAUUUUUGGUCUUCAACGAGGAAUUCCUAGUAAACGCAAGUCAUCAACUUGCAUUGAUUACGUCCCUGCCCUUUGUACACACCGCCCGUCGCACCUACCGAUUGAAUGGUCCGGUGAAGCCUCCGGAUUGGCGCGCACCUCGGUGCCGCCGAGAAGUUGGCUAAACCUUACCAUUUAGAGGAAGGUGAAGUCGUANCA